GACUCUCGCCAACGGAUAUCUCGACUCUCGCAUUGAUGAAGAAUGUAGUGAAAUGCGAUACUUGGUGUGAAUUACAGAAUCCCGUGAACCAUCGAGUCUUUGAACGCAAGUUGUGCCCGAAGCCAUCCGGCCGAGGGCAUGUCUGCCUGGGCGUC
This 155-nucleotide ribosomal RNA is filed under the name Cornus kousa. RNAcentral's name for it is "partial 5.8S ribosomal RNA". It matches the Rfam family "5.8S ribosomal RNA". Rfam says of the family: 5.8S ribosomal RNA (5.8S rRNA) is a component of the large subunit of the eukaryotic ribosome. It is transcribed by RNA polymerase I as part of the 45S precursor that also contains 18S and 28S rRNA. Functionally, it is thought that 5.8S rRNA may be involved in ribosome translocation. Lineage: Eukaryota; Viridiplantae; Streptophyta; Magnoliopsida; Cornales; Cornaceae. The record is from RNAcentral.